This 148-nucleotide ribosomal RNA is filed under the name uncultured rumen bacterium. Its description in RNAcentral is "partial 16S ribosomal RNA". It matches the Rfam family "Bacterial small subunit ribosomal RNA", at positions 362 to 524 of the family's 1533-position model. The record is from RNAcentral.
UAUUGCACAAUGGGCGAAAGCCUGAUGCAGCAACGCCGCGUGAAGGAUGAAGGUCUUCGGAUCGUAAACUUCUGUCCUUGGGGAAGAAGAAAGUGACGGUACCCAUGGAGGAAGCCCCGGCUAACUACGUGCCAGCAGCCGCGGUAAU